Molecule: small RNA, 50 nt
Filed under: Caenorhabditis elegans
Lineage: Eukaryota; Metazoa; Nematoda; Chromadorea; Rhabditida; Rhabditidae
Description: Unclassified non-coding RNA ZC123.6
Source: RNAcentral
GGCUAAGACUUAGGCUUAGGCUUAGGCUUAGGCUUAGGCUUAGGCUUAGA